This 637-nucleotide long non-coding RNA is filed under the name Daucus carota (carrot). RNAcentral's name for it is "long non-coding RNA (DCAR_LNC004812)". The record is from RNAcentral. Lineage: Eukaryota; Viridiplantae; Streptophyta; Magnoliopsida; Apiales; Apiaceae.
GUGUUCGUAUAGCAUUUACACUGCGAAGCGCUCUGACCUUAGACCAAGCAAUUAAUCACCAAUAGAAAAAAAAAUAUAUAGGUAAUAAAAUAGAAGGGUGUGGAUAUUCUUUGGGACCUUGGCUUUAGUUGGACUUGAGUGACGGGGUGUUAGUUUUAAACUUUUACGAUUCUUGAUUGGGAUUCUGUGGGAGUAGUAGUUUUUGUCUUGUCUCAAUAAAAGAGCAUGCUUGCACACACUGGCACUCCACACUUGUAAAUAGAAGAGUAAUUGACUUAGUAGCGAGAGAGAUGAAACUCGAGAACAUUAGCACAAUCUGAGGUAUUAUAAUUGGCAAGGCAAUUACUUCAUAGUUCACUCAUUCAUCAAGUAGUUGCAUUCAUGCAUUGCAUUGUAUUAUUGUAUAAUGUCGUUGACGCUUGAGGACAAGCAUCAGUUUAAGUUUGGGGGUGUGAUAAGUGGUAUUUAUACACACUUAUAGGCCUUCAUUUCUACUUAAAUUGGUUGGUUGUACUUAAGUGUUUAGUGUCUUUUGAUGUGUUUUUAUUGUUUUUCUGUGCAGGUCACGAGUUGAGGUGAUGAAGUGAUUUUCUAUCAUUUUAGGUUGGUUUUGGUGCAUUAAUUGCAAGAAUAGAGA